UCCGUCGUGAAGAGGGAAACAACCCAGACCGCCAGCUAAGGUCCCAAAGUCAUGGUUAAGUGGGAAACGAUGUGGGAAGGCCCAGACAGCCAGGAUGUUGGCUUAGAAGCAGCCAUCAUUUAAAGAAAGCGUAAUAGCUCACUGGUCGAGUCGGCCUGCGCGGAAGAUGUAACGGGGCUAAACCAUGCACCGAAGCUGCGGCAGCGACGCUUAUGCGUUGUUGGGUAGGGGAGCGUUCUGUAAGCCUGCGAAGGUGUGCUGUGAGGCAUGCUGGAGGUAUCAGAAGUGCGAAUGCUGACAUAAGUAACGAUAAAGCGGGUGAAAAGCCCGCUCGCCGGAAGACCAAGGGUUCCUGUCCAACGUUAAUCGGGGCAGGGUGAGUCGACCCCUAAGGCGAGGCCGAAAGGCGUAGUCGAUGGGAAACAGGUUAAUAUUCCUGUACUUGGUGUUACUGCGAAGGGGGGACGGAGAAGGCUAUGUUGGCCGGGCGACGGUUGUCCCGGUUUAAGCGUGUAGGCUGGUUUUCCAGGCAAAUCCGGAAAAUCAA
Molecule: ribosomal RNA, 547 nt
Filed under: Escherichia coli
Lineage: Bacteria; Pseudomonadati; Pseudomonadota; Gammaproteobacteria; Enterobacterales; Enterobacteriaceae
Description: partial 23S ribosomal RNA
Rfam family: Bacterial large subunit ribosomal RNA
Source: RNAcentral